This 136-nucleotide ribosomal RNA is filed under the name Otolemur garnettii (small-eared galago). The record is from RNAcentral. Lineage: Eukaryota; Metazoa; Chordata; Mammalia; Primates; Galagidae.
GUCUACGGUCAUACCAUCCUGAACACACCACAUGUCAUCUGAUCUCAGAAGCUAAGCAGGGUCGGGCCUGGUUAGUACUUGGAUGGGAGAAAUUACAUUAGACAUGGCAAAAGAAAACACUAGCGAACUAUGGAGA